GCCUUAGUGGUGUAAGGGCAGCACGGGGGACUGUGGAUCCCCUAGUCCGGGUUCGAUUCCCGGCUGAGGCC
Molecule: transfer RNA, 71 nt
Filed under: Microcaldota archaeon
Lineage: Archaea; Nanobdellati; Microcaldota
Also listed under: 2 other names
Description: tRNA-His
Rfam family: tRNA
About the family: Transfer RNA (tRNA) molecules are approximately 80 nucleotides in length. Their secondary structure includes four short double-helical elements and three loops (D, anti-codon, and T loops).
Source: RNAcentral